UUAUCUGUAUUCAGGCUUUGUCCUUUUUUACAACUGCCUAUGUUCUUGUGUGAAUUAGAUUAGUAGUCUAUUUUUUAUGGCAAAAUUGCAUAAAAAUACUACCAAUAAGUCACUUGGGGUUUGAGAUCCCCCUUAUAAAUCUUGGGAUUGUGAAUGAGUGGCGAAGCCAUGUGGUCAUGGUUGGUGGAGGGCUGGUGGGUGGCGUGGUAUUGGUGUCAGCGGAGUUAGCAUGUGAGGGGUGGUGGGAGUGGAUCCGGCAAUGGAUCGUUGCUGAUUACGGGUUACUGAAUUGAGCAAAGGAAGGAUCAAAGAGAGUAGGCUCAGAACAAUAUUAUUUUGUUUGAAAAUCUUCUUAUAUAGCAGAAUUUCAUUGAGGCAUUGAGAAGUACCGAAUUAGCCAGAAGUAGUAUAUACUGGUGUUGGUUUUUUCUUAAGUGAGCCAAUGCGACUUUAGGCAUCAUAGCAUAGUUCAUAUCAUUUUAAUAUAAUAACAAUCGAUGCUAUGAAAUUGUAAUAUUAAGCUCAUGGGUUGAUAGUAGCUAAAUAUUCUGUGCUGCCACUUUCAGUUAAGUUGGAGAUUUUAUUUAUCUGAAAACAAGUGAUUAAAGAUUAUAGUAUAUGAUUAGUGGCAAUUAAAAAAGUCAUCUUAUCAACUUGUGCUCCAUAUAAAGCAUGUGCAGCUAGAGGAUCCAUAUGUCACACGAAGUACCUUUUAGAGCCAAACUCAUGCAAUCGCUUCCUAUUGCCAGGAUUCUUUAUUUCUGACUUCUUCUGGUUAUUGCAAAAGGAGGCAGUAACUUCUUCAGAAAAGCACCUGCUCCUGAGAUGUUAACCUCUCUAUGUGAUGGGUUGUUCUUUGUUGGAAAAUUAUCAUUUCAAAUAAUGAACAGCCUUGGAAUGAAAGUGCCCUCGCAAUUCAUAGAACAAAUUGCAAUUAAGGAAGUACUACAUAUUAUUCAAGUUGCUAGGGAUAGGAAAUUAGGAAUAUUCAUAUUUAUUAUCCAACAGAUCUCCGGUGCUUUGUUUGAAUCAUAGAGAAGGUCGUAGUGUAAUUUUCUAUAUUAGAAAUUAGAUUGGUUGUUUUUUCUGCAAAUUUUGUCUUAGUUUUCUUUAGGUCGUAGUGUAUGUUCACUUCAUUUUUUUUCUUUCUGCAGAUAUCACAUCAUUGAAACUGAACUUUAGGACAUUUAAUAAAUAUAACGUAAGAAUUAUUCGUAUGAACUAUAUAACAUUUGUCAACAAAAAUGGACAUUUUGCAGGAUUUGUGGUUCAGAUUCGACCUAUUAUCCUCUGCCGAAAAGGAAAGUAGUGGCAGAGUAGCUACUACUGUUUCUUGUACAGAAUAAGACAAUUCAAUUAUGGGACUAGCUAGAGGAGCAAGAAAGAUUAUGAAUUGGAUCAGUGAGUUCAUUUGGUUUUAGUCACCAAUUUUGAGCUUUUUGCACUGCCUGAUGAUUGCAACUCAGCCUCAUCCUGCCAUGCAACCUGCAGUAAGAGAGCCUUAGCUGGCUUUCUAAUUUCAUUUCUCAAACUCACAUCUGAAAUGGUGAUGUUCAAAUGGUAAGAAAAUUUCAUUUGAGGAAUUUUACAUGUCGAUUGUUGUUUCAUUCUUCAUAAUACCAUGUGUAUCUUCUUAACAUGUGCUUGGAUGGAAUGGACUGUCAAACGCUGGAGCCCACAAUAUUUGGUGGCAAAUGGUAAGAAAAUUUCAUUUGAGGGAUUUUACAUGUCGAUUGUUGUUUCAUUCUUCAUAAUACCAUGUGUAUCUUCUUAACAUGUGCUUGGAUGGAAUGGACUGUCAAACGCCGGAGCCCACAAUAUUUGGUGCCCUUUGCCACCUAAACAAUAGUUUUUUUGUUUAACUAGCUUUUGUUUCUUGAUAUUGCAAUCAAUUAGGUAAUACUUUUCUCUUGAUUACUGUAAGACAAUGAUCAAGCCAAAACAUAACUCACUCCUUGAAAAAUGACUAGCAAGCACCCCUACGUGAUUUUUUUUAUUGUUAGAAGUUGGAAAUUCGGCCAGAUGCAGGAACCAAAUAAGCAUGGCCGUCAGCAAUCUUCUUCACUAUACACUAUAGUUAGUAUUAGUUAGUGAUGAGGUCAGUAAGUCAUAUUAGCUUAUGGCCCUUCCAUCUUUGCGUAAGUGCUCCGUUUAAUCCAUUCCUGUUUUUAAUCUUAGUUCUUUUCUGCAGGUAAGGAAGAUCAAAGAGUAGAGCAGAGAGAGCUAGCUCUUAGAUGUAUCAUGGAAUCCAUGUGCAUUGCAAUGUACAUCACUAAAUUGAGUAACAAGAUGCAGAGGUGAGAAACCCUCUCACGAAAUCAUGUAAUUCAUCUUAAUUGUACGAGCAUCGCAAUAAAGUGUGAAUGACUCUUUUAAACUGUCUGCACACCAUGUAACAUAAAAAAAAUUCAGAUUCAGUGAGUUCAAUGUCUGCUAUUUCACAUAUCUUCGUUGCCUCUUUGUUACACUUUAUAGUCUAUUAUGCUAGGUAAUCUGUCUAGGCCUAGUGUUUUUUUCAAGAAUAUUGAAUGAUAUCAUAUCUGCUGUUAUUGUUGUUCAAGACGAGACAAUGCACCACAGCUGUUUGGUUUGAACUUAGAACCACAAUAGCUGUUUGGUUUCAGUCACACUGGUGGCAGAGAUGGCAACUAGGGAGGCGUGUCGAGAGUGCUGGUGCUACCCCAACGAUUGAAGCUUGAUAGAAAACUGGUUUUUGAGGCCUCCUCUUAGGGAAAUGCUCCAAUGAUUAGAUCAUUCUCAAAAGGCCUAGCGAACACUCAGCUUAGGUGUUGAAUCAUGAAGCACUUUGUUAUGUUUCAGUAAUCAGUAUUUUGUAAUUUGUAAUCACGAUGUACCUUGCAACAAAAAAAUAAUUUAAAAAGGAAAUUUUUGAUUGU
Molecule: long non-coding RNA, 2897 nt
Organism: Sorghum bicolor (sorghum)
Lineage: Eukaryota; Viridiplantae; Streptophyta; Magnoliopsida; Poales; Poaceae
Exons: 2
Source: RefSeq, a predicted model, not a curated record